GUGAUUCUCAGCUGAUAUAAAUUGUCAUACAUGUUCAGAUUUAAAUAGCAGUUGGCUGGCCUACCCCAGAUGUAAGCUCUGGCCUAUGUUAUGUGAUAGCUAUCAGCUUGGAAUGGAAACUUUGGUGCUACUUUUACAGGCAAAUUUAUUUUAAUGUAUUAUCAGGAAAAUCCAGCGUAUUUCCAGGUAUCACGUAUCUGAAAAAGCAAUCACCAAUACAAGACCAAUACAAGGAUGUCUUCAGCUUCCUGACUCCAAAGAGAGGGGUGUUAUACUUCUUUGGUAUUUAUGUUCUCCCAUGGCAACACAGAUCUGCUGGUCACGAAACACCUACAGAUGUCAUUCUGAAACUGCCCAGCCUUUAAGAUGGCUGUAAACUCCAGGUUGGACAAUUUUCAGCACCGUUUCCAGAAUGUUCAACAGGUCCACCAGUUCUCCCGUCUCUGAACUGUCUUCUCCAAGGCUGAAGUGCUCUUUGUGCCAAUGUUGCUGGGAUCCUUCAGUUUUGGUGCACAGACAACCACAGUCCUGCAUUGCUGUGGACGUUGCUGUCCCCUGGAUCAGGCUUGAUUCAAUGCACAUGAAUACGAGGAGUGAGUAUGAACAUGAAUGGGCAUAGGAAGGAUUUGUACUGGUAUCUCAAGUACAUGACGUAUCCUGAAUCCCAAAGUGAGUGAAUUUUGUAGCUGGAAAAAGUCAUCCCAAAGUUUCCAGUGAGUAAACCCUGGGGGAUCCUGAUUUUUGGCUGCUUUUUCUUGCACUGCAAUCCCCUGUUGUUUGCUACUCUAACUACUUCUCUGUCUCUGGAUAUAAAUAGCUCUUUUCACCACAGUAACUGAACAUCAUGAAUAAAAUGAGAUUGUAAAUUCCUAUAGGGGACA
Molecule: long non-coding RNA, 881 nt
Filed under: Anas platyrhynchos platyrhynchos (common mallard)
Lineage: Eukaryota; Metazoa; Chordata; Aves; Anseriformes; Anatidae
Description: lncRNA (ENSAPLG00000019531.1)
Source: RNAcentral